CCCAGAUCGUUUACCGUGAAAAAAUUAGAGUGUUCAAAGCAGGCAGAUCCAAUUUUCUGCCACCGAAUACAUUAGCAUGGGAUAAUGGAAUAGGACCCUGUUCUCCUAUUUUCAGUUGGUUUUGGCAGCGCGAGGACUAGGGUAAUGAUUAAUAGGGAUAGUUGGGGGCAUUAAUAUUUAAUUGUCAGAGGUGAAAUUCUUGGAUUUAUGAAAGAUUAACUUCUGCGAAAGCAUCUGCCAAGGAUGUUUUCAUUAAUCAAGAACGAAAGUUAGGGGAUCGAAGACGAUCAGAUACCGUCGUAGUCUUAACCAUAAACGAUGCCGACCAGCGAUUAGGAGACGUUGAAUACAAAACACCACCAUCGGUGCGGUCGUCCUUGGCGUCGGUUUCGGCCGGCGCGGGGGCGGCUUAGCCCGGUGGCACCGGUGAAUGACUCCCCUAGCAGCUUGUGAGAA
This 456-nucleotide ribosomal RNA is filed under the name Acanthamoeba sp. Its description in RNAcentral is "SSU rRNA". It matches the Rfam family "Eukaryotic small subunit ribosomal RNA", at positions 742 to 1096 of the family's 1831-position model. The record is from RNAcentral. RNAcentral also lists the same sequence under 1 other name. Lineage: Eukaryota; Discosea; Longamoebia; Acanthamoebidae.